UACGGAGGGUGCAAGCGUUAUCCGGAUUCACUGGGUUUAAAGGGUGCGUAGGCGGACAGGUAAGUCAGUGGUGAAAUCUCUGGGCUUAACCCAGAAACUGCCGUUGAUACUAUUUGUCUUGAAUAUCCUGGAGGUGGGCGGAAUAUGUCAUGUAGCGGUGAAAUGCUUAGAUAUGACAUAGAACACCGAUAGCGAAGGCAGCUUACUACAGGAUGAUUGACGCUGAGGCACGAAAGCGUGGGGAGCAAACAGG
RNAcentral lists this ribosomal RNA (253 nucleotides) under uncultured bacterium. Its description in RNAcentral is "partial 16S ribosomal RNA". It matches the Rfam family "Bacterial small subunit ribosomal RNA", at positions 524 to 776 of the family's 1533-position model. The record is from RNAcentral.